Molecule: unclassified non-coding RNA, 1129 nt
Filed under: Rhagoletis pomonella (apple maggot)
Lineage: Eukaryota; Metazoa; Arthropoda; Insecta; Diptera; Tephritidae
Description: putative nuclease HARBI1, transcript variant X2
Source: RNAcentral
GCUAAAUUAAAGUGUAAUCUUUUAACUACGCGUGUGAGUUAAAAGAUUUUAAUUUAGAUCACGCGUUUUCUUGUAAUAACCCGAAAUAAGUGGGCAAAUAGCAUAAGAGUACCCUUUGCUAGGUCCAGUUGCCAAUGUGAAUUUUGGAAGCCGCAUUAUUAAUAAACUAGUGCUCCAGAAAUUUAAACAUUAGUGCUAAAUUAAAGCUUAAUCCUUUGUAGGACAACGUUCAGUUUUAGAAGUACUCAUAGACAAAACAAUGCAGAGGAAGAGGAAGAACGGUUGAUGGCGCAGAGGGUCGAACGACGAAAAUGGCGCGAUGCCAUAAAUCCCUUCGAGUUGCCGCAAUCCUUAUUUGAAAAGUAUUACCGACUUAACAAGUCGGAAUUUCAGUAUUUGUUGGACGUAUUGACAGCAAAUACGGAGGCACCAGAGAAGGCUUUGGCGAUAUCCCCCAUCGCAAAACUGAGCGGGUGUUUAAGAUUUUUGGCUGAAUGUGGGUACCAGACGGGUGUGGGUAAAGACUGCGACGUUUCGUAGGCGAAAUCUAGUUUCAGCAAAGUGUUGACGGAAGUGCUGACUGUUUUUGAGCGCCAUUUGUGCCCGCAGUGGAUAAAGGUGAGCGAAAGCUAGGAUGAAAACAGGAAUAUCGCCCGAGCCUUUUAUGUUAAACAUGGCAUUCCGGGAGUUGUUGAGUGUAUUGAUGGCACCCACGUAAGAAUAAUUGCUCCACCACAAAACGCACACCUUUACUACAACCGUAAAGGGAACUACAGCCUAAACGUUAUGCUUCUUUGCGACAAUGAAUUAAGGAUUCGCUACGUUUAUGCUUCCCAUCCUGGGGCGUGCAACGAUUCCUUCAUAUGGAACAACAGCGAAGUGCGGGUUUAUUUUGAGAGGCAAUAUUUGCAAGGAGCGAGGAGUGUCUGGCUUUUAGGGAACGCAGGGUAUCCUUUAGAGCCCUGGCUGUUGACACCUCAUAGAACUCCAGAAGAAGGCUCAAGGGAAAUGAGGUUUAACCAAAGAACGUAGAUAAUAAGAAGGGACAACUCGUUAUAAUUGUAGCGAAAGUGAGCAACAUGGGCGUGCCUUCUCGUUUUCCCUUGUACGUUUUUUGAUUGGAUGAAAA